AGCCUAAUACAUGCAAGUCGAGCGAACAGAAAGGGAGCUUGCUCCUUUGACGUUAGCGGCGGACGGGUGAGUAACACGUGGGCAACCUACCUUAUAGUUUGGGAUAACUCCGGGAAACCGGGGCUAAUACCGAAUAAUCUAUUUUACUUCAUGGUGAAAUACUGAAAGACGGUUUCGGCUGUCGCUAUAAGAUGGGCCCGCGGCGCAUUAGCUAGUUGGUGAGGUAACGGCUCACCAAGGCGACGAUGCGUAGCCGACCUGAGAGGGUGAUCGGCCACACUGGGACUGAGACACGGCCCAGACUCCUACGGGAGGCAGCAGUAGGGAAUCUUCCACAAUGGGCGAAAGCCUGAUGGAGCAACGCCGCGUGAGUGAAGAAGGUUUUCGGAUCGUAAAACUCUGUUGUAAGGGAAGAACAAGUACAGUAGUAAACUGGCUGUACCUUGACGGUACCUUAUUAGAAAGCCACGGCUAACUACGUGCCAGCAGCCGCGGUAAUACGUAGGUGGCAAGCGUUGUCCGGACAUUCAUUGGGCGUAAAGCGCGCGCAGGCGGGUCCUUUUAAAGUC
This 569-nucleotide ribosomal RNA is filed under the name uncultured bacterium. RNAcentral describes it as "bacterial SSU rRNA". It matches the Rfam family "Bacterial small subunit ribosomal RNA", at positions 45 to 592 of the family's 1533-position model. The record is from RNAcentral.